Molecule: ribosomal RNA, 1250 nt
Filed under: 'Araucaria heterophylla' little leaf phytoplasma
Lineage: Bacteria; Bacillati; Mycoplasmatota; Mollicutes; Acholeplasmatales; Acholeplasmataceae
Description: partial 16S ribosomal RNA
Rfam family: Bacterial small subunit ribosomal RNA
Source: RNAcentral
GAAACGACUGCUAAUACUGGAUAGGAAACAAAAAGGCAUCUUUUUGUUUUUAAAAGACCUUCUUACGAAGGUAUGCUUAAAGAGGGGCUUGCGCCACAUUAGUUAGUUGGUAGAGUAAAAGCCUACCAAGACGAUGAUGUGUAGCUGGACUGAGAGGUUGAACAGCCACAUUGGGACUGAGACACGGCCCAAACUCCUACGGGAGGCAGCAGUAGGGAAUUUUCGGCAAUGGAGGAAACUCUGACCGAGCAACGCCGCGUGAACGAUGAAGUAUUUCUGUAUGUAAAGUUCUUUUAUUGAAGAAAAAAAAGUAGUGGAAAAACUAUAUUGACGUUAUUCAAUGAAUAAGCCCCGGCUAACUAUGUGCCAGCAGCCGCGGUAAGACAUACGGGGCGAGCGUUAUCCGGAAUUAUUGGGCGUAAAGGGUGCGUAGGCUGUUAGAUAAGUCUAUAAUUUAAUUUCAGUGCUUAACGCUGUCUUGUUAUACAAACUGUCUUGACUAGAGUGAGAUAGAGGCAAGCGGAAUUCCAUGUGUAGCGGUAAAAUGUGUACAUAUAUGGAGGAACACCAGAAGCGUAGGCGGCUUGCUGGGUCUUUACUGACGCUGAGGCACGAAAGCGUGGGUAGCAAGCAGGAUUAGAUACCCUGGUAGUCCACGCCGUAAACGAUGAGUACUAAGUGUCGGGGUAAAACUCGAUACUGAAGUUAACACAUUAAGUACUCCGCCUGAGUAUUACGUACGCAAGUAUGAAACUUAGAGGAAUUGACCGGACUCCGCACAAGCGGUGGAUCAUGUUGUUUAAUUCAAAGAUACACCAAAAAUCUUACCAGGUCUUGACGGACUCUGCAAAGCUAUAGAAAUAUAGUGCAGGUUAUCAUGUAUACAGGUGGUGCAUGGCUGUCGUCAGUUCGUGACGUGACAUGUCAGGCUAAGUCCUAAAACGUACGCAGCCCUUAUCGUUAAUUGCCAGCACAUGAUGGUAGCGACUUUAACGAGACUGCCAACUAAACAUUGGACGAAGGUGAGGAUUACGUCGCAUCAUCAUGCUCCUUAUGAUCUGUGCUACCGACGUGAUACAAUGGCUGUGACUUAGAGUAGCAGAAACAAGAGUUUCUAGCCAAUCUCAAAAAAGCAGUCUCAGUUCGGAUUGAAGUCUGUAACUCGACUUCAUGAAGUUGGAAUCGCUAGUAAUCGCGAAUCAGCAUGUCGCGGUGAAUACGUUGCCGGGGUCUGUGCACACCGCCCGUCA